RNAcentral lists this ribosomal RNA (253 nucleotides) under uncultured bacterium. Its description in RNAcentral is "partial 16S ribosomal RNA". It matches the Rfam family "Bacterial small subunit ribosomal RNA", at positions 524 to 776 of the family's 1533-position model. The record is from RNAcentral.
UACAGAGGUCUCAAGCGUUAUUCGGAUUCAUUGGGCGUAAAGGGUGCGUAGGCGGCGCGGUAAGUCGGGUGUGAAAUCUUGGGGCUUAACUCCGAAACUGCAUUCGAUACUGCCGUGCUUGAGGACUGGAGAGGAGACUGGAAUUUACGGUGUAGCGGUGAAAUGCGUAGAUAUCGUAAGGAAGACCAGUGGCGAAGGCGGGUCUCUGGACAGUUCCUGACGCUGAGGCACGAAGGUCAGGGGAGCAAACGGG